UUCUGUUUUAUCUAUGGUAUGGAUAUUUACUUUGCAAUAAUUUUCAUGACAUGAGACUACAUUUUGCUGCAAUUACAAGCGAUUUGAUCUGGUUUUGUUAUAAUUUCGUUUCAAUUUUAUGCGAAUAGGUACUGAGUUUAUAAAAGUAACAUAAUAUUGUCUUGUAUAUAAUUAGUUUUUGUGUAUUUCGGAUUCCGUUUACAUCUAGGUACCUACUAUGUCGGGGUCCUACCAGAAAGCUGGCGUAUCAACGCCACGAAUAUUCAGGCGCCCGUAAAUCGUCAAAACGAGUGAAAAGCGCAUUCAGUUGGAUACAUGUGGACGACAAGAUAGUAAACCUGUAAAUUAUAACUCAAGUUGUGGCCAGCUUCAUUGUAAACAAACUUUAGUUUUCAAGUUCAAGGACAAAUGUGUGUCAGUAACAUGGAUAAAUGCUACUUCAUAUGUUUUAUUUCAGUCAAUGAACCUUUGACUGUUAUAGAAGUUUGUCGAGAUAAUAUAAUGACUUUAUCAGCAAUAUGAUGCCAAAGUUAAUACACUUUUUUAAAGAAUGUAUUCUGCCAGAAAUAGUUUUGAGACAUGUUCAAAAAAAUGCGAAAUGUAUACCUAGGUAUGAAAGCAGCUGUGUAGCGGUAGUUUCCAGGCAAUAAUGAAGAAGGAUGAGUGAAAACAACACGACAAAUGUUUUUUAUUGUACUAUUAUAGUAGUGCGUUUAGAAUCUACAUUAUCAAUAUUUACAGUCAUGUUUUUUUUGAUGUCAGAAAACUGAAAUGGUGUACUCGUCGUAAUGAACAUAAUGUUCAUAAUGUGAUAUGAAUACAUUGACCUAUUUUAAGGUUUCUGAAAAACAAAAAGGAAAGUUGUUGCUUUUUUAUUUCCUUAUGUAGUAUAGUGAUUAUGGAUGCUUAGAUAUUCUCAAACAUUUUUCCGCUUUGAUUGCAAUCUAUUAUUCUGGUUGCCUUGUUUAUGAAUUAUAGUUUUGAAUUAUUAUUUUGAAUGAGAUUAUUUUUUAAUAAUCAGUCACGUAUCAAGCAUUCAUGUCACAUAAAUACUUGUAAUAAUUGCAGGUUAGUAUAUACAUUCUAUUAAAUAAUGUAUAAGAUAAUAAAAUAAAACUGUCUUACAUUGCA
Long non-coding RNA from Spodoptera frugiperda (fall armyworm), 1131 nucleotides. RefSeq lists it as uncharacterized. The transcript has 3 exons. The record is from RefSeq and is a predicted model, not a curated record. NCBI's taxonomy places the organism in Eukaryota, Metazoa, Arthropoda, Insecta, Lepidoptera, Noctuidae.